This is a non-coding RNA of Paramuricea clavata, 267 nucleotides long. The record is from the annotation of a GenBank genome assembly. NCBI's taxonomy places the organism in Eukaryota, Metazoa, Cnidaria, Anthozoa, Malacalcyonacea, Plexauridae.
UGAAAGGCUUUAACCCAAACACCUAACCCCUGCCAAAGCUCACUGAGUGGUGCUGCUUGCACCCGGCCACCAGAAAUUCUUCUACCCCUCCUUUUAAAUAAAUGAAAAUCUGCCCUUGUUAGAAAUGUUGUAGCAUUCCAAAUUUACCUCAUGAUUAGUGUAUCAGUGACUCACUUAAAUUCCGGCAGCUUGUGGGCAACAUUUUUGUUGCCAACAAGCUGUGUAAAACUAUAUAGUAGUUUUACAUAGUUCUAAACAGACAAUGGU